ACCACCUACACCUACAUUUGAAGUUGCUUGUGGUCUUACACCUUUGGUCACACCUUGGGAGCCAUUGAAUCCCAGUCCUAAUAUGAAACUCAAUCUUGCACAUCCAGCUUUCCAGUAGAUUCUGUAAGACGAAAAAAAGAAAAUCACAAUAUCAAGAUGACAAAAUGAAAACCCAAAUAAAUAAAGAAAAGAAAAGGGGUCUUAGUCAUGCAGCCGGUCCAUUGAAUCGGUUGAUCCUGCAUGCGCACUGAGGGAGGGUACGAUAGGCCUGUCUGCGGAUGAAGACUCGUGAUCUUCGACCGAAUCAACAAACAGCUCAAGAUCUGAAAUGCCUUCAUAUCACCGGGCACAUUCAUCAGAUCACGUAACCGCAUUUCAUAUAAUGAAACUCAAUCUUCUUUCACACUAAAUUGAUCUGACCAAAUAUACAGAUUUCACACUAAUAAGACUCAGUGUUCUAUAGAUUUGCUCAAAUCAAUUUAUGAUUACCAAGAAAUCAAAUCCAAACCCAUAAACUGAUUAACCAAUCGGCCCAAUCUUUGACCGAAUCAACGAAAGGCUCAAGAUCCGAAACACCAGCACAUUCAUCAGAUUACGUAACUGCAAUUCAUAUAAUGAAACUCAAUCUUCCUUCACAUUAAAUUGAUCUGACCAAAUCUACAGAUUUCACACUAAUAAGAAUCAAUGUUCUACAGAUUUGCUCAAAUCAAUAUAAGAUUAACAAGAAAUCAAAUCCAAACCCAUAAACGAAUCCUCUAUUCGACCACCUACACCUACUUUUAAAGUUGCUGGUGGUCUUACACUGUCCAUCACAGCUUGGGAGCCAUUUGAUUCCUAGUCCUAAUAUGAAAUUCAAUCUGCACAUCCAACAUCCAGCUUUCCAGUAGAUUCUGUAAGAAGAAAAAAAGAAAAUCACAAUAUCGAGAUGACAAAAAGAAAACCCAAAUAAAUAGAGAAUAGAAAAGGGGUCUUAGCCAUGCAGCCUGUCACCGAGUAUGAUCCAUUGAAUCAGUUGAUCCUGCGUAGGUAGAGGCAAUAGCUGCACCGAGGGAGGGUCCGAUAGGCCAUCUGUCUGCAGAUGAAGACUAGUGGGUCCGAUCUUCGACCGAUUCAUCUGACGGCUCAAGAUCCGAAACGCCUUCGUAUCACCGGCACAUUCAUCAGAUCACGUAACCUCAUUUCAUAUAAUGAAACUCAAUCUUCUUUCACACUAUAUUGAUCUGACCAAAUAUACAGAUUUCACACUAGUAAGACUCAGUGUUCUAUAGAUUUGCUCAAAUCAAUUUAUGAUUACCAAGAAAUCAAAUCCAAACCCAUAAACUGAUCGACUAAUCGGCCCACUAUUUGACCGAAUCAACGAAACGCCGGCAUAUUCAUCAGAUUACGUAACUGCAAUUCAUUUAAUAAAACUCAAUCUUCUUUCACAAUAAAUUGAUCUGACCAAAUCUACAGAUUUCACACUAAUAGGAAUCAAUGUUCUACAGAUUUGCUCAAAUCAAUAUAAGAUUAACAAGAAAUCAAAUCCAAACCCAUAAACGGAUCCUCUAUUCGACCACCUACACCUAC
RNAcentral lists this long non-coding RNA (1566 nucleotides) under Actinidia chinensis (golden kiwifruit). RNAcentral describes it as "long non-coding RNA (ACHI_LNC003205)". The record is from RNAcentral. Lineage: Eukaryota; Viridiplantae; Streptophyta; Magnoliopsida; Ericales; Actinidiaceae.